CCUACGGGUGACAGCAGUGAGGAAUAUUGGUCAAUGGGCGAGAGCCUGAACCAGCCAAGUCGCGUGAGGGAUGACGGUCCUAUGGAUUGUAAACCUCUUUUGUCGGGGAACAAAGGCGUCCACGUGUGGACUGAUGCGUGUAUCCGAAGAAAAAGCAUCGGCUAACUCCGUGCCAGCAGCCGCGGUAAUACGGAGGAUGCGAGCGUUAUCCGGAUUUAUUGGGUUUAAAGGGUGCGUAGGCGGACAGUCAAGUCAGCGGUAAAAAUGCGGUGCUCAACGCCGUAGAGCCGUUGAAACUGGCAGACUUGAGUGGGCGAGAAGUAUGCGGAAUGCGUGGUGUAGCGGUGAAAUGCAUAGAUAUCGCGCAGAACUCCGAUUGCGAAGGCAGCGUACCGGCGCCAUACUGACGCUGAGGCACGAAAGCGUGGGUAUCGAUCAGGAUUAGAUACCCGUGUAGUC
RNAcentral lists this ribosomal RNA (459 nucleotides) under uncultured bacterium. Its description in RNAcentral is "partial 16S ribosomal RNA". It matches the Rfam family "Bacterial small subunit ribosomal RNA", at positions 338 to 795 of the family's 1533-position model. The record is from RNAcentral.